CCUCUGCAGCGGCCGCAGCCACAGCCUCCCGACGCCGAAACCCCGCCCCACCUGCUGGAAGCCCCGCCCCAUAGGCCCGCCUCUCGAGGCCCCGCCCAGUAGGCCCGCCCCUCGCACUUAAACCCCGCCCUCACUAGAAGCCCCGCCCCGCCUCGCCGCCCGCGAGGCCUCAGUCCCCGAGCGGUAGCCGCGCUGGAUCCCGGUGGCGGUCUCCGCGCGGCCGGAAGCCCACGCGGGCGGUGGUGGGGAGGGGCCGCGCGGGCCUGGGGAGGGGCAGCCCUCGGGGAGGUGGAAGCAGGGUCGGUGCACGGCGCUCCUUUGGGAACCCAGCCUGCUGCCUGACCGGAAAAGACCCCCGAGGACCACCUCCUCCUUCCCUCUGAGAGCAGAAAGGAAAAGGCUGCAGGCCUCCUCACCCCAGGUGUUAGCAGGACACCGGAAUCGAGCAGAGACGGGAGGGAGGGCGAGCGCUGACCCACGUCCCUCCCCAGCCCCCCUCAGGGGUCGCUUCUGGAAGCCCCCUCGGCAGAGCUCUUCGUCUGCCUUCCUUUGUAGGUGGCCGGGCGCCCAGGAUCGCAAGCCAUUUAGCACCUCUGGAGGUCAAAGCACUGUCUGCGAAGAGAAAUACACACGUGGCAAAGCCUCUGCCUAUCAAUCUGGAGGGAAACGCAAACACGCUGGGACCUGCCAGCCAGCCUGAUGGGAGCAGCAGCACCUGGGUGUGUGGACGCUUUCGUGAACACAGGAGGACAUCCCGGGAGGUAUCAGGGCAAAAAAGGCUACCAAAAUAAUAGAGUCAGAAGUGACUAUGGGUUGAAACCGUAGCACCCUUACUCCAAGGUUGGAAGAUUUUUGUGGAAAAUGAACAUAUUUUAUUAGAAGACAUGGAGGACUUCCUGGAGCAGGAUGGGCAAACACACCCUAGUGUUUACCUGAUAUUGGAAAGGAAAGUUUUCCUCCUGCCUCUGCAGCCUUGGGUGAAUGUGUAUGUGAAACACAGAUCACCGCUAAUGUGUCCCCAGUUCAGAUUUCUGCAUCUGCAAGUUCAGAAUUAUGGUGAUUUUGACAAGGAGGAGACUACAAUGUAAAUGAGAAGAACCAUCAUAUCUGAAAGAAGUAGGCAGCAAUUCCAAGAUACUAUAAAAAGUCGGCAGAUUUGUAUCGUUUCUGUCAUGCAUGCCAUUUUUUUACUCUGGUGGAAAUUAAGGCAGGAACUUCUGUGUUACAAAAUAUUUUAAUAGUUUAAUAGUUCCACCUCUGUGAUUGCUUGCAAAGUAGCCAUAAAUUCUGCCCAUUCCUGCAAUGUGAUUUUACAGACCUUCUCAUGAAGAAAUGAAGUAUUUUUCUCUAAGCUUUGAGUCUGGGCUUGGCCACGUGACUUGCUUUGGCCAGUGGGACAUUAGCAAAGAUGAUGCAAGCAAAGACUUGGAGAAAGCUUGUGGCAUUGAGCUUCCUUUCUCAUUCUACUCUUUGCUCUUCACUAAUCACCAAGUGUAGAAACCUAGACUUGCUGGUUAGAGGAUGAGACACCCUGUGGAGCUGAGAUGGGUUAUCCCAGCUGAGCUCCUCCACCCCCCAGCCUGCCAGCUUAUGAGUGGAGGCAUCCUAGACCAUCCAACCCCAAACGACUCAGCUCAUAUCAGAAGAACCACUCAGCCUACCCACCGAGUCAUGAGAAAGAAUAAAGGUCACUGUUUUAAGCCACUAAGCUGUUUGGGGUUUGUUUGCUUUUUUCUGUUUUCUUUCUUUCUUUUUUUAUUUUU
This is a long non-coding RNA of Equus caballus (horse), 1763 nucleotides long. NCBI's taxonomy places the organism in Eukaryota, Metazoa, Chordata, Mammalia, Perissodactyla, Equidae. The record is from Ensembl.